This 394-nucleotide ribosomal RNA is filed under the name uncultured bacterium. RNAcentral's name for it is "bacterial SSU rRNA". It matches the Rfam family "Bacterial small subunit ribosomal RNA", at positions 28 to 424 of the family's 1533-position model. The record is from RNAcentral.
GAUGAACGCUAGUGGGAGGCCUAAUACAUGCAAGUCGAGCGGUAGAAUGACUUCGGUUGUUUGAGAGCGGCGAACGGGUGAGUAACGCGUACACAAUCUACCUUUAAGAGGGGGAAUAGCCCUGGGAAACUGGGAUUAAUGCCCCAUGGCAUCACGGGAUGGCAUCGUUUUGUGAUUAAAGCUGAGGUGCUUAAAGAUGAGUGUGCGUCUGAUUAGCUAGUUGGUAGGGUAAAGGCCUACCAAGGCCACGAUCGGUAGCUGGUCUGAGAGGAUGAUCAGCCACACUGGGACUGAGACACGGCCCAGACUCCUACGGGAGGCAGCAGUGGGGAAUAUUGGACAAUGGGCGCAAGCCUGAUCCAGCAAUGCCGCGUGUGUGAAGAAGGCCUCGGUU